Thunnus maccoyii (southern bluefin tuna) is the source of this 872-nucleotide long non-coding RNA. RefSeq lists it as uncharacterized. The transcript is spliced from 4 exons. NCBI's taxonomy places the organism in Eukaryota, Metazoa, Chordata, Actinopteri, Scombriformes, Scombridae. The record is from RefSeq and is a predicted model, not a curated record.
AACCUUGCCAAGUGACCCUGCGCUCAUCUGAGCAAGGAAGUCCCAAGAUUCAUUGAGAGUUGUGGUCUGCUGCGAUAAGUGGUGAAUGGGCAGCGGGUGUGCCCUGCUCUGUGAGCUGUGUGAGAGAGUAUCAUUUAGGAAAAGCUGCAGCCAGACCUGCAUGAUUCAGACUGGCAGCUCCAACAGGCAAAACUCCAGAAUUGGACUAACGCUAUCCACAUGUCUGAGCUGAUCACCACUUCAAUGAAGCAUGUCCCCUAAGUGUUUGUCUUUGUUUUGCAUUUGACAUUAAUUGACAGCCUUUGCAUGCAAUUACUGAGACAUAUAACAUCUUGGAGAACACAAGCUUUUAUCCACUUUCAGUUCAAAUGUUCCUGCUGUCCGCUGUGAUCUGCGUGAGUACGUGUGUGUGUGUGUGUGUGUGUGUGUGUGUGUGUGUGUGUGUGUGUGUGUGUGUGUGUGUGUGCGUGCGUAAAUGUGUCUCGGCCACAUCUGCACCUGCCAGGGUGAAAGCAGUGCAAACGUCACAUCAAGAGAAACAUCAUAUGAGGUGUUUUGAUUGACAGAUGGACAGAAGGUCAAGUCACCAAGAUGUGACAUGUUGUGUUCAGCUCAGGUGUGAUGUGCAGGUCACAGAGUCCUGAACCUUGAUAUUAGGAAACCUGAUGAAAGUUGUGACCAUGUCAAACUGGCACUAAACUUUAGUUUAAUAACUGUUGUGACCUUCUGAUAUGAGACCACCGUACUCUGGAUGUGAAACAGGAAAAGUCACAAGUGUCACUCUUAUGUCUGAUAUAUAUUACUAUUACUGGAUUAAUGGAUAAUUAUGGAUUCAGAUGCUAACAAAGCAUAUAAAGGCUUUUUAAAAAUCA